CGCGUAGGCGGCUUCGCAAGUCCGGGGUGAAAUGUCUCGGCUCAACCGGGAACCUGCCUUGGAAACUGCGGAGCUUGAGGGCGUGAGAGGAGACUGGAAUUCCUAGUGUAGCGGUGAAAUGCAUAGAUAUUAGGAAGAACACCAGUGGCGAAGGCGAGUCUCUGGCACGAUCCUGACGCUGAGGCGCGAAAGCUAGGGGAGCAAACG
Molecule: ribosomal RNA, 207 nt
Filed under: uncultured bacterium
Lineage: Bacteria
Description: partial 16S ribosomal RNA
Rfam family: Bacterial small subunit ribosomal RNA
Source: RNAcentral